Molecule: non-coding RNA, 72 nt
Organism: Drosophila pseudoobscura pseudoobscura
Lineage: Eukaryota; Metazoa; Arthropoda; Insecta; Diptera; Drosophilidae
Source: Rfam
GCCUCUUUAGCUCAGUGGCAGAGCACUGGUCUUGUAAACCAGGGGCCGUGAGUUCAAUUCUCACAAGAGGCA